This 426-nucleotide ribosomal RNA is filed under the name uncultured bacterium. RNAcentral's name for it is "bacterial SSU rRNA". It matches the Rfam family "Bacterial small subunit ribosomal RNA", at positions 355 to 774 of the family's 1533-position model. The record is from RNAcentral.
UGGGGAAUUUUGGACAAUGGGCGCAAGCCUGAUCCAGCCAUGCCGCGUGCAGGAUGAAGGCCUUCGGGUUGUAAACUGCUUUUGUACGGAACGAAAAGACUCCUUCUAAUAAAGGGGGUCCAUGACGGUACCGUAAGAAUAAGCACCGGCUAACUACGUGCCAGCAGCCGCGGUAAUACGUAGGGUGCAAGCGUUAAUCGGAAUUACUGGGCGUAAAGCGUGCGCAGGCGGUGAUGUAAGACAGGUGUGAAAUCCCCGGGCUUAACCUGGGAACGGCCUUUGUGACUGCAUAGCUAGAGUACGGUAGAGGGGGAUGGAAUUCCGCGUGUAGCAGUGAAAUGCGUAGAUAUGCGGGGAACACCGAUGGCGAAGGCAAUCCCCUGGACCUGUACUGACGCUCAUGCACGAAAGCGUGGGGAGCAAACA